UACGGAGGCCCCAAGCGUUGUUCGGAAUCACUGGGCGUAAAUCGCGUGUCGGCGGCUCUGCAAGUCGGGUGUGAAAUCCCGAGUGUCAACCUCGGAACUGAACUCGAUACUGCUUGGCUCGAGUCCCGGAGAGGGUGGCGGAAUUCCCGGUGUAGGGGUGAAAUCCGUAGAUAUCGGGAGGAACACCAGUGGCCAAGGCGCACACCUGUACGGUGACUGACGCUGAGACGCGCAAUCGUGGGGAGCAUACAGG
This 253-nucleotide ribosomal RNA is filed under the name uncultured bacterium. RNAcentral describes it as "partial 16S ribosomal RNA". It matches the Rfam family "Bacterial small subunit ribosomal RNA", at positions 524 to 776 of the family's 1533-position model. The record is from RNAcentral.